RNAcentral lists this ribosomal RNA (442 nucleotides) under uncultured bacterium. RNAcentral describes it as "partial 16S ribosomal RNA". It matches the Rfam family "Bacterial small subunit ribosomal RNA", at positions 338 to 795 of the family's 1533-position model. The record is from RNAcentral.
CCUACGGGAGGCAGCAGUGGGGAAUAUUGGGCAAUGGGCGCAAGCCUGACCCAGCAAUGCCGCGUGAAGGAAGAAGGCUUUCGGGUUGUAAACUUCUUUGACAGGGGAAGAGCAGAAGACGGUACCCUGAAAACAAGCCACGACUAACUACGUGCCAGCAGCCGCGGUAAUACGUAGGUGGCAAGCGUUGUCCGGAUUUACUGGGUGUAAAGGGCGUGUAGCCGGGAAGGCAAGUCAGAUGUGAAAUCUGGAGGCUCAACCUCCAAAUUGCAUUUGAAACUGUUUUUCUUGAGUACUGGAGAGGCAGAAGGAAUUCCUUGUGUAGCGGUGAAAUGCGUAGAUAUAAGGAGGAACACCAGUGGCGAAGGCGGUCUGCUGGACAGCAACUGACGGUGAGGCGCGAAAGCGUGGGGAGCAAACAGGAUUAGAUACCCCAGUAGUC